ACGAACGCUGGCGGCGUGCUUAACACAUGCACGUCGCACGGAAAGGCCCUUCGGGGUCCUCGAGUGGCGAACGGGUGAGUAACACGUGGGUGAUCUGCCCUGCACUUUGGGAUAAGCCUGGGAAACUGGGUCUAAUACCGAAUAUGAUCAUCGGCUUCAUGGUCGGUGGUGGAAAGCUUUUGCGGUGUGGGAUGGGCCCGCGGCCUAUCAGCUUGUUGGUGGGGUAAUGGCCUACCAAGGCGACGACGGGUAGCCGGCCUGAGAGGGUGACCGGCCACACUGGGACUGAGAUACGGCCCAGACUCCUACGGGAGGCAGCAGUGGGGAAUAUUGCACAAUGGGCGCAAGCCUGAUGCAGCGACGCCGCGUGAGGGAUGACGGCCUUCGGGUUGUAAACCUCUUUCAGCACAGACGAAGCGCAAGUGACGGUAUGUGCAGAAGAAGGACCGGCCAACUACGUG
Molecule: ribosomal RNA, 461 nt
Filed under: uncultured bacterium
Lineage: Bacteria
Description: partial 16S ribosomal RNA
Rfam family: Bacterial small subunit ribosomal RNA
Source: RNAcentral